ACUAGUGAUUCUGGUUGAUCCUGCCAGUAGUCAUAUGCUUGUCUUAAAGAUUAAGCCAUGCAUGUCUAAGUAUAAAUAGUAUACAGUGAAACUGCGAAUGGCUCAUUAAAACAGUUAUAGUUUAUUUGAUAAUUGAAUACUACAUGGAUAACCGUGGUAAUUCUAGAGCUAAUACAUGCGUCAAAACCUGACUUUUUGAAGGGUUGUAUUUAUUAGAUACUAAACCAAUAGUCUCUGACUAUUGUGAUGAUUCAUAAUAACUGAUCGAAGCGAGGCUUGCCUCGCUAAAUCAUUCAAGUUUCUGCCCUAUCAGCUUUCGAUGGUAGUGUAUUGGACUACCAUGGCAGUCACGGGUAACGGGGAAUUAGGGUUCGAUUCCGGAGAGGGAGCCUGAGAAACGGCUACCACUUCUAAGGAAGGCAGCAGGCGCGUAAAUUACCCAAUCCCGAUUCGGGGAGGUAGUGACAAGAAAUAACAACUCGGGUCCUUCGGGAUUACGAGAUUGCAAUGAGGACAAUUUAGACCACUUAUCGAGGAACAAUUGGAGGGCAAGUCUGGU
RNAcentral lists this ribosomal RNA (559 nucleotides) under uncultured microeukaryote. RNAcentral describes it as "SSU rRNA". It matches the Rfam family "Eukaryotic small subunit ribosomal RNA", at positions 1 to 565 of the family's 1831-position model. The record is from RNAcentral.